AUUGAACGCUGGCGGCAGGCCUAACACAUGCAAGUCGAGCGAGCGGCGGACGGGUGAGUAAUGUAUGGGGACUGCCCGAUAGAGGGGGAUAACUACUGGAAACGGUGGCUAAUACCGCAUACUAUCGGAUAACCCAUAUGGGAUUAGCUAGUAGGUGGGGUAAAGGCUCACCUAGGCGACGAUCUCUAGCUGGUCUGAGAGGGUGAUCAGCCACACUGGAACUGAGACACGGCCCAGACUCCUACGGAGGCAGCAGUGGGGAAUAUUGCACAAGGGGCACAAGCCUGAUGCAGCCAUGCCGCGUGUAUGAAGAAGGCCUUAGGGUUGUAAAAUACUGUCAGCGGGGAGGCGUUACCCGCAGAAAAAGCACCGGCUAACUCCGUGCCAGCCGCCGCGGUAAUAC
This 403-nucleotide ribosomal RNA is filed under the name uncultured bacterium. RNAcentral describes it as "partial 16S ribosomal RNA". It matches the Rfam family "Bacterial small subunit ribosomal RNA", at positions 30 to 526 of the family's 1533-position model. The record is from RNAcentral.